Long non-coding RNA from Octopus sinensis (East Asian common octopus), 193 nucleotides. RefSeq lists it as uncharacterized. Lineage: Eukaryota; Metazoa; Mollusca; Cephalopoda; Octopoda; Octopodidae. The record is from RefSeq and is a predicted model, not a curated record. The transcript has 2 exons.
GUGCAUUGUUGCUGUUGAUCUUGUUGCUCUGUGCUGAUGUGCAGCCAAUGUUGUUGUUCUUGUUUACCCACGCCUUUCACCCGCGCCAUCACAAUCCUCUGUGUUUCAGGAGUUGCUAAGGAAUAAAUACUUACAACAUAAACUAGCAGAUUUGGAAUUAUUGAAGGAAAAGGAGAUUUGUGUUGGAAAAUUG